RNAcentral lists this unclassified non-coding RNA (293 nucleotides) under Hevea brasiliensis (rubber tree). The record is from RNAcentral. Lineage: Eukaryota; Viridiplantae; Streptophyta; Magnoliopsida; Malpighiales; Euphorbiaceae.
UGGCGACUUGUUCUCCAGAUUAACAGGCAGCAAUAAUAUGGGAAAGAUAUUUCGUCAGGCUUUGCCUCGCCAUCAGUCAAGUUACCUUUUUCAAAACCAGCAGUUCUGCAGAAGCAAUGAGAAAAAUGAACUUCUAGGUGGUGCUGAUAUACCUACAGUUUCUGAGCUCGCAAAUUCAUUUUGUCCUGCUCCUGUAACUUCCCUUUCAAGUAAUGAUCUUUUGGUGUAUCCAAAAGAUCAAAAUGGUGUACUUCAAUAUAAUAGGCCUUCUUAUCACCUUGAUAGUUUUGAAG